GACAAAACAUUCUCACUCCCCUCGCGUAAAAUGCAGAUGUCUGAUCAGAUGCCUUUGGCGUUGAUAUUGACGCUAAAAGUGUCCUUUAGGGUCAUAUGUAAACCUGCUUGGUCGGGACUAUUUUUGACACAGUUAGGUAAA
Molecule: long non-coding RNA, 141 nt
Organism: Etheostoma cragini (Arkansas darter)
Lineage: Eukaryota; Metazoa; Chordata; Actinopteri; Perciformes; Percidae
Exons: 3
Source: RefSeq, a predicted model, not a curated record